Molecule: transfer RNA, 58 nt
Filed under: Mesobuthus gibbosus (Mediterranean checkered scorpion)
Lineage: Eukaryota; Metazoa; Arthropoda; Arachnida; Scorpiones; Buthidae
Description: transfer RNA-His
Source: RNAcentral
UCUUAGUAGUUUAUAAUUACUAAAACCUUAAUUGUGAAAUUAAAAAAGAAUCUAAGAU